AUUGAACGCUGGCGGCAGGCUUAACACAUGCAAGUCGAGCGGGGGAAGGUAGCUUGCUACCGGACCUAGCGGCGGACGGGUGAGUAAUGCUUAGGAAUCUGCCUAUUAGUGGGGGACAACAUCUCGAAAGGGAUGCUAAUACCGCAUACGUCCUACGGGAGAAAGCAGGGGAUCUUCGGACCUUGCGCUAAUAGACGAGCCGAAGUCGGAUUAGCUAGUUGGUGGGGUAAAGGCCUACCAGGGCGACGAUCUGUAGCGGAUCUGAGAGGAUGAUCCGCCACACUGGGACUGAGACACGGCCCAGACUCCUACGGGAGGCAGCAGUGGGGAAUAUUGGACAAUGGGGGGAACCCUGAUCCAGCCAUGCCGCGUGUGUGAAGAAGGCCUUAUGGUUGUAAAGCACUUUAAGCGAGGAGGAGGCUACUUUAGUUAAUACCUAGAGAUAGUGGACGUUACUCGCAGAAUAAGCACCGGCUAACUCUGUGCCAGCCGCCGCGGUAA
RNAcentral lists this ribosomal RNA (501 nucleotides) under uncultured bacterium. RNAcentral describes it as "partial 16S ribosomal RNA". It matches the Rfam family "Bacterial small subunit ribosomal RNA", at positions 30 to 523 of the family's 1533-position model. The record is from RNAcentral.